Molecule: transfer RNA, 73 nt
Filed under: Cotesia glomerata
Lineage: Eukaryota; Metazoa; Arthropoda; Insecta; Hymenoptera; Braconidae
Description: tRNA-Thr
Source: RNAcentral
GUUUCAGAUAGCUUAACUGGUAGAGACUAUGGCGCGUAACCAAAAGAUCCAGGUUCGAGUCCUGGUCUGGGCU